GUUGCCUCACAGCUCCAGGGGAAUUUGCGCCCUUGAGUGUCCGAGGGCUGACAAUGCCAAAAAAAGGUUGCUCGUGUUGUUUCAUCAUUUAUGCAAGCGUGCUUUUCGGUAAUGUGAUCCACACUUUUUUUGGUGAGGUGGAUUUUUUUUUAUUCAACCAAGUUAUGUACAUGCUAUUCCAUGAGACCCUAGGAAUAUCUCUCUCAGGUAACUAUCCAAAUUAAAAUCAUCUUCAGUCCAAGAUUUGCUAGCCAGCAGUAGUACAGAUAUAGCACAUUCUAGGAAGGGUAUACACCUAAGCAGGGAUUCGUUUGUGAGGGCUACUAAGAUGAGUCUAAUUGAUGAUCGUCAAGGUAGUUUGAAAUCAUUAGCUUGGGGAAGAUUCCUUCCAUUAGAACGGGUUCGUCAUUUGACCUAUUCUUCUCUGCAAAGGUAUGGUUCAAUUUUAUGUUAGUGAAUUUAACAUUCAUUUCUGUUU
This is a long non-coding RNA of Capsicum annuum, 478 nucleotides long. RefSeq lists it as uncharacterized. The transcript has 2 exons. Lineage: Eukaryota; Viridiplantae; Streptophyta; Magnoliopsida; Solanales; Solanaceae. The record is from RefSeq and is a predicted model, not a curated record.